RNAcentral lists this ribosomal RNA (253 nucleotides) under uncultured bacterium. RNAcentral's name for it is "partial 16S ribosomal RNA". It matches the Rfam family "Bacterial small subunit ribosomal RNA", at positions 524 to 776 of the family's 1533-position model. The record is from RNAcentral.
UACGUAGGGUGCAGGCGUUAAUCGGAAUUACUGGGCGUAAAGCGUGCGCAGGCGGUUCGUUGUGUCGGUGGUGAAAGCCCCGGGCUUAACCUGGGAAUGGCCGUCGAAACUGGCGAACUGGAGUGUGGCAGAGGGGGGUGGAAUUCCGCGUGUAGCAGUGAAAUGCGUAGAGAUGCGGAGGAACACCAGUGGCGAAGGCGACUACCUGGCCUGUUCUUGACGCUGAGGCGCGAAAGCUAGGGGAGCAAACGGG